This 763-nucleotide long non-coding RNA is filed under the name Helianthus annuus (common sunflower). The record is from RNAcentral. Lineage: Eukaryota; Viridiplantae; Streptophyta; Magnoliopsida; Asterales; Asteraceae.
AUGUUGGGACACAAAAUAUCAACAAUCGCGGUUACACGUGUUAGUAUUUCUCGGGUUCGAAUGAAUGUAAUAAGAGUUGGCAAUGUUGGAUGUGAUCUCAUUAAAAGUUUAUUUUCUGGAAUAAAAGAAGCGGGUUGAAAAAAAAAUAGUAAGCAUGCAUAUGUGUUUUAUUUUUCGUGUUUAUUUCUCAGUUUAUUCUUGUUCUUGACUUCCUUGAGGACAAGGAAAGGUUUAAGCUUGGGGAGAUUUGUUAGUUGCAUUUUUAGGCACGUUUCUAUAGCAUAUUUAUGUUAAAAUUUCAUCACAUUUCAUGCAUAUUUCAUAGCCAUACCUCAUUAUUUUGCGAAACACUUGUUUUUGUGGAAUGGACUCUACUUUGGUUUGUUUUUGGUUGAUUUUGUAGGUGUGGAGUAAUUGCUAAGGAUUACAAUGGAUUUCUGAAAGAACUUGAGGAGUGCAUCUAAAAAGAAGGUGUUUAUUAAUGAAGAUAACUCAUUCAACAUGUGAAUUAAAUGGCUGGACUAUUCUGGUGCAAAGUCAAGAAAUAUAAAGUGAUCAUUGUGUUGCAACAAAUAAAGAUUUUUGUGGGCUGAAUUUUAGAGGUAUGGAAUUAAUAAGUCUAUAUGGGUUGGCCACGAGAGAGAAAAAAAUUUGGCUUUUUGGGGACGGCUGCUGCAACUCGAGAUCAAGAAAAAAGGCAUUUUCUCUUUUGUGAUUUUUGAGAACAAUUUGUUUAGUAAGUUUCGGAUGUUUUCUUUCAUAU